This is a non-coding RNA of Chelonoidis abingdonii (Abingdon island giant tortoise), 795 nucleotides long. NCBI's taxonomy places the organism in Eukaryota, Metazoa, Chordata, Testudines, Testudinidae. The record is from RefSeq and is a predicted model, not a curated record.
AUGGGAAACAAUCACGUUAAAGGCUAAUGUAACGCACUGAAGAAGACUGCCUGAGCCAGGCAAAUAAUCCACAUUAAUAAUGAUGUCCAAUGCAAUAGGUAAACACAGACUUGGAAACAUUUCGGGCAAAAUUCAGCCUUGACGGAAGUGGGUGUCACUCUGAUUGAAAGAUUUGGCCUACUGAGCUACAAAAUAUGGGAUCAGCUACUCAACAUGGUGGCAGAUAUUUCCUAUGCCAUUUUUCUCUGCUUUUUAAAUGGCCUGACCAUAGUAAAUACCACAAUUUUGGGGUUUGUGGCCUGACUCAAUAAGCCUGCUUGACUUCUUUGGGAGCUUUGUCUCCUAAAGCUAUCUGGACAGCACCUAGCAGUCCCGAUCCACGACUAGGCCUCCUAUGCAGUAAGAUCUCAUUGUGAUCUAAGGACCAAGUCAUGUGAUGUUUCCUCCUUCAACGAUGUUUGAUUUCUCCAUGCCUGGAAUAUCUGAUGGAGCACAUCACUAAUGUUGAAGUGUAUUUUCAGGCAUAUGUAACUCAAAUAAUAAUUGAACCAAUUUUGCUGAAAACUUUCCUGAAUAAUUUACCUGAGACCGAAUGUGGAAAAAGUCACCCCUUAAGAAGUCCGGCUCCAGCUCUCAGAUUUUUAGGCACCUGACUCCACUACCCUCAGUCCAAUGAGCUGAUGGCCAGAUUUAAUGGGACUCUGAAAAUGACACUGAGGACUUCGAUGGAUCAGCAUCCCCAGGACUGGAGCAAAUGCUUGCCUACCUGCUGUUCAUUUAUAGGGAAGUGCCCUA